UAGUUGCAAACUAUCACUUCUACGAAACGGCAGAUACUUUCUACCCCUUGUUUCUAAAAUAAUAUUAUUAUUAUAUAACUGAUAUUGACCUCGUUUCCCUCCUAAUAAAAACAGAUGCAAACGAAACGUUUCCGUGCUGAGAUUAAAACUGGGAUAAGGGUUUGUCGGCUGACAAACUGAGGAGAGGAACUUCAGUCUUACGUUUUCAAGAGGCUAUCAUACUUUCGUUCAUCAUACAUAAUUCCAGUAAGUUGGCGGUUUUGGUGUUUUUUUUUUUUUUUCAGGUGACUGUUUCAUGGGCGGUGGGAUUGAGAGUCAGGAGGAAAUAUCAAACAUAAACCUUGCCGAUCACGAAAGUUGCGGAAUUACUGUUGACAGAGUAAGCGAGAAAAGAUGGCGGUUAUGAAGCCUGAUUUGGGAAUUCAGUGUUAUGCAAGACAACACACUCAAGCUGAUCAAGAGAACAGACAACUGAGCUUGAAGCAUGUUAACCUAAUCGAAUUUGGAAGUUACUUGAUGAUCGUUGCACCCUCUAGGUGUGAAAACAGUUUUAAAGAUUGGUUUCACUGUAAUCUUUUCCGGUUAAUAAUCUAUCACCAGUUUCACUGUAAUCUAUUCCCAUAUACAUAAACGGUGUACAUAAACACACUCGAGUCGAAAGCGUCACCGAUUUUCUUUCAGGAGCUCAACUAGGUAGUCUUUCUUAUCUAAUCUCUGGACUUUCCAAAUGAGGAUUCAAAGAGAGGUCGAAGUUCAUCCGUUAAUGAAACUAUGAUUUAUAUCAUAUUGCAUUUACUUUCUUCUACGAGGACAAAGAACCCACUAAAAUAUGUGUCACUUCUUACGCGAGGUUUAGUUGCUCAGUUUGUACUAGCGCCAAACUUGUAUCUUGAAAACACGCCGGAGUUUGUAUCCCGUUCAAGCCUCGAUAUAUUCAGACCUUUUUUUUUUUUAUUCAAUUGUUUAUUUAAAGCUCAACUCUUAAUUUUUCUGCACUUGAACUUCAUCUGCAAGUGAGCACAUGACUUAUUUCAUUAAAACCGCGAUAAGACGGCGGAAAUUAAACCGA
Molecule: long non-coding RNA, 1069 nt
Organism: Pocillopora damicornis (cauliflower coral)
Lineage: Eukaryota; Metazoa; Cnidaria; Anthozoa; Scleractinia; Pocilloporidae
Source: RefSeq, a predicted model, not a curated record